CAGCCGCCGCGGUAAUACGUAGGUGGCAAGCGUUGUCCGGAAUUAUUGGGCGUAAAGGGCUCGCAGGCGGUUUCUUAAGUCUGAUGUGAGAGCCCCCGGCUCAACCGGGGAGGGUCAUUGGAAACUGGGAAACUUGAGUGCAGAAGAGGAGAGUGGAAUUCCACGUGUAGCGGUGAAAUGCGUAGAGAUGUGGAGGAACACCAGUGGCGAAGGCGACUCUCUGGUCUGUAACUGACGCUGAGGAGCGAAAGCGUGGGGAGCGAACAGGAUUAGAUACCCCAGUAGUCCCUGUCUCUUAUAC
Molecule: ribosomal RNA, 301 nt
Filed under: uncultured bacterium
Lineage: Bacteria
Description: partial 16S ribosomal RNA
Rfam family: Bacterial small subunit ribosomal RNA
Source: RNAcentral